This is a non-coding RNA of Dermacentor albipictus, 984 nucleotides long. The record is from RefSeq and is a predicted model, not a curated record. Lineage: Eukaryota; Metazoa; Arthropoda; Arachnida; Ixodida; Ixodidae.
AGGCACUGGGAACUCUUCAAUCAAAGACUGGACCUAUUCCUGAUGGCUAACUCGACAGACCAUCCCAAGACAGGAGCGGUCAAGGCGGCCAUCCUCCUGAGCGCCGCGGGUGACGAAGCGCUUGAGGUCUAUAACAACUUCACAUUCGCCGAAGGGACGGCGCCUGCGCACCAACGUUCCGGAAUACAGCACUGAGCUGGGAUGCCCAGUAGUCAAGCAUCAACAGCAGGCCACGGGCAAAACGCUGCACCCUUUGCACUAAGGAGACACGGUAGGCAUACUGGACGACAACAGGUCACGUAAGGCAAGAGUGCUUCAAGAAGCGGCUCCCCGGUCCCACAUCGUGGAAACAGAGGAUGGAAGGCUUCUAAGGCGGAAGAGACAACACCUGCUUCAAACGCGGGAAAAAUGCCUCAGGGUAGACGAAUAUGACGACAACAGCAACGCUGAAAAUAGUAGCUUACAAAACGAAAGACAGGAGCCUCCAGAGCAAGGCCAAAGUGCACCCGGGUUAACUGAUCAUCCGCAAGCCAACAUACAGGUCUUCCCCAAAGUGGAGACAUCGGAAGCAGAGCCCCGCAGGUCGACCCGUCAGAGCAACAAGCCUCAACGGCUGCAAUACGAAGCGAAUUUCCGUCAAGUCUCCUAGCUUUCUUUUCUUGCCUUGUGGUCAUAAAGUCCUUUCUUUUUCGUUAAUGGAAAGGAGAUGUAUCAUACUUGGCCACCACGGAAGCAGACGAGCUGAUAGCAGCGCAUCCUUCUUUCCCCUAACCACUUCUGCGCAUGCGGCACUUUCUCACACGAAGAUAUAAAAGCAACCACAAUAAAGAGACGGCCAGUUUUUCGAUGCCCAACCACUGUGUGUGUCGACUUGCUCAGACGCGCACGAUACACUCCGAACCUAGAGACGUAGUGUACUGGAGGUGAAUGUGGACUUGCCACCUUCAGACUAAAAAAAAAAAUAAAGAAAAACAAGGAUUUCCA